UGAGAUAUAGCUAAGCAGCACAGCACCUGCCUGGCAAGCAUGAGGCUCUGAGUUCAAUUCUCAAUUCCCAA
This 71-nucleotide transfer RNA is filed under the name Fukomys damarensis (Damara mole-rat). It matches the Rfam family "tRNA". From Rfam's summary of the family: Transfer RNA (tRNA) molecules are approximately 80 nucleotides in length. Their secondary structure includes four short double-helical elements and three loops (D, anti-codon, and T loops). The record is from Rfam by way of RNAcentral. Lineage: Eukaryota; Metazoa; Chordata; Mammalia; Rodentia; Bathyergidae.